Molecule: unclassified non-coding RNA, 248 nt
Filed under: Hevea brasiliensis (rubber tree)
Lineage: Eukaryota; Viridiplantae; Streptophyta; Magnoliopsida; Malpighiales; Euphorbiaceae
Source: RNAcentral
CAUCAAAUCUGGACCAGUUAUUCCUUCUGGAAACCCUGGAAAAUUCUCUACUUCAGUGGUAGUCAUCAGCUGUCCACCAGGCACACCACCCAUUUGAUACCCCUCAAACACUACAGGUUUCAAAUUGGCACGAGCAGCAUAUAUGGCAGCUGUAUAUCCACCAGGACCUGAACCUAUAAUUACCACAUUCUCAACACCUUUGGCUGGGGAAGGCGGUGGCUCGACGGAAGAAGCCUUGACUCGGAGAG